Molecule: ribosomal RNA, 253 nt
Filed under: uncultured bacterium
Lineage: Bacteria
Description: partial 16S ribosomal RNA
Rfam family: Bacterial small subunit ribosomal RNA
Source: RNAcentral
UACAGAGGGUGCGAGCGUUGUCCGGAAUCACUGGGCGUAAAGGGCGCGUAGGCGGCCGUUCAAGUCGGGGGUGAAAGCCUGUGGCUCAACCACAGAAUGGCCCUCGAUACUGGAUGGCUCGAGACCGGAAGAGGUUGGUGGAACUGCGAGUGUAGAGGUGAAAUUCGUAGAUAUUCGCAAGAACACCAGUGGCGAAGGCGGCUCACUGGCCCGAUACUGACGCUGAGGUGCGAAAGCGUGGGGAGCAAACAGG